UCUAUGGCCAUACCACCCUGAACGUGCCCGAUCUCCUCUGAUUUCAGAAGCUAAGCAGGGUCGGGCCUGGUUAGUACUUGGAUGGG
Molecule: microRNA precursor, 86 nt
Filed under: Tursiops truncatus (common bottlenose dolphin)
Lineage: Eukaryota; Metazoa; Chordata; Mammalia; Artiodactyla; Delphinidae
Source: RNAcentral